UGUCUUUGAACUUCACUCCCAGGCUCAGGUCUCUAGUUUCUUGUUUAACGUCCUAAUUAGAAGAAAGUCUUGAGAGGAAUUUUGUCCUGACUGAACAGAUUUUUGACCAGUUAUCAAGGCAUGUCUUGGCUUCAUCCUUAUCCUCUUGCAACAUGGCUCCCAUGUGUGACAAGGCUGUGACCUGGAUAGAUACCAAACUGGCUCGAAGAAAUUGUGUGACUUCUAUGUGAUUCUCCACUUGAGAUUCACAUCUAAUAACAAGGGUCUCCUUUCCUCCGGUAGAGCAGCCUAAGACCCCAGCCCAAGGUGGUGGCACCCACUUUAAGGAUAUGUCUUCUCAGCUCAAUGAACAUAAUCAAGGUAGCUUGAACGCUUAGAAGAUCGCCGGAGUGCCUGCACCAAUCCUGUGUCUGUCUUCUGUUGAAUGGAGCAUCGGGGCUCCUUCCUUGGUUAAGAUGAUUGAGCAGAAAGGAUCCAUUCACAGUUUCAGCAGCAUCUCUGGAAUGGCUAUGUGAAGGAACACUGCAAAGAGCUGGAAUUCCAGUCCGGCUGGAAGAAACAUGGAGCACUCUGGGGGUAUUAACAAGGAAGAAAUACAAAUCGGAUUUGAGCAGAGGGAAGAGAAGCCUCGGCCAGCUGCAUGGGAACAGGAAGGACAUUGCAUGCUACUUUAGCUGGUCUCUUUCCUGCUGGGAAAAGUCAACGCGUAAAUGAUAAAAUUUAUAGUGCAUGGAGGGUUGAGAGCCAGACUCGCAUCAUUUGAGUCUGAAUUCCGGUCCUGAAUAGAAUGCUAUUGUCUCCCUCUGUCCCCCACUUCCAAUGGAAUGGGGCUGCUGCUGAGUGGCAUCACAGUCUUCUCACAGAGUCGGAGGCAUUAGCAAAGGCAAGGCUUUGUUUGGGGAAUGAGACAUUGACACUGAUCUUUAGUUAAAAUGGUCUCAGGAACAGUUAUGUCAUGGCAUCAUCCAUUUCUAGAAGAGGACGGGUCUUAGAAAAGCUGAACUGCAAGUUUCUUAUCCAUAGGGCAAGAUGGGCACAGAAGGAGGAAGGUAUGCUCCAGUCUUUCAGGAAGACUCUGCAGGAAGGAUACCGUGGACAAGGGCUGAAAAAUCUAAAUCCCAACCUUGAAAAGAUCAUGUGACAGAUACUGCCUUGCCAUGUACAUGCCCGGAUGAUCCAUCUCUCAUGUCAAUGCCCGUUCUCAUCUGAAAAGUACCCAGCUUGAUCACUCACCUGAGCCACCUGAAAGAUGGGAGCCAAAUCCACUUCCUGCUCAGGUGUCAGGGGAAGGAGAGCCCAUUCUGUCCUGGACUCAGCAGCUGCCAAGACCCUGAGGGCUUGAGAAAAGGAACUCUGAUGACCUGAUGACUUUCUUUGUUGUUGUUAUUGGUUUGUUUUGCUUUGUUUUGUUUCUUAAACGAUAGUGACUUUGUUGGUACUGUCACGAAACCCUCAAAGCAUGUGAGUAUGAGGGAUGAUUGUGAGCAAUGUGGUUUAAAAAUGGAGUCUGAGCAUUGGCCCUGCUAUUGACUACCUCAGGGGAUAAAAUGAAAUAGUUGA
Molecule: long non-coding RNA, 1560 nt
Organism: Mus musculus (house mouse)
Lineage: Eukaryota; Metazoa; Chordata; Mammalia; Rodentia; Muridae
Gene: Pinc
Product: pregnancy induced noncoding RNA
Exons: 5
Source: RefSeq, marked validated